This is a long non-coding RNA of Vulpes vulpes (red fox), 762 nucleotides long. The record is from Ensembl. Lineage: Eukaryota; Metazoa; Chordata; Mammalia; Carnivora; Canidae.
GGUAGGUUUAAUGUCCAGGCAUGAUUCUAAAUUGAAGAUCCAAAGAACAGAUGAGGCUGAGGCCAUGUGGAUUAAGGGAACUGAAGACAUCUGAAGAAGCCACUGGAGAUACUUUACUGCAAGGCUCCAACAAUGUCCCUAAGAGGCUUCAUCUUGGCCGAGAAUCUUCCAUUAAAAGCUGUUGGUUGGAUGAGUGGCAGCUUCCGAGCAAAGUUUCUGAGACGUAGAUCUGGCCAUCGUCUGUAAGAUGCACUGCAAUAGGCUGCUGCCAAGAGGAAAUGAAUAGUGUCUUUUGAGAUAUUCACAGACAUCCGGUACGGACUGGGGAGCUUGCUUUGAGAGCCAGCAUUUAGUCUAUUUUCUGUAUUUGAACCAUUCUGGACAAAGGCUGCCCCCAACGCUGUGACAGGGCCUUCCCGCACACCAGAUGCAGGACAGCUCUUCCUCCCCGCUCUCUGCAAACACUUGUCCUCAUCCUCCCAUCCUGCUCCUGCUGGUUUCUUGCUCUGGCACCUGGGCGAGUAUGCAGGUGUGCGGCGGGUGUUGUGCCCUCAGCCUCUGCUCCCUACUCAGCACAGGGGACAUCCCAGGACAGGGAAGAAUCUGCUCUAUGACGAGGUGUAAACACCCCGUGGUGCAGCAGUUUCCCGGCCAGCUGUCCUCCUGCAGACCCACCAUGGAAAAGAAUGAGCCCUUGCGCCAACCCUCACACCUCAUGUGUGUGCUGGACAUUCUACAAAAGUUUUGCAGGCCACUCUCACA